Long non-coding RNA from Elgaria multicarinata webbii, 321 nucleotides. RefSeq lists it as uncharacterized. Lineage: Eukaryota; Metazoa; Chordata; Lepidosauria; Squamata; Anguidae. The transcript has 3 exons. The record is from RefSeq and is a predicted model, not a curated record.
CACUCAUUUUGUAUUGGGAGGAAGUAAUUCCACAUCAGAAGGUGUGGCUUCCAUCAGACCCCAGCACCUCUCACUUCAGAAAUAAAGUACUACUGAAGAUGCAGUUGGGUGUUCCUGUUAGCAACAGGAGGCAGAAAUUGGCAAGAGUCCCAAGACUUAUAGCUUCAAAAGGUUACUUCAGUCCACCAUGAAGUAAUGCUGCUAGUCAAGUCUACAUGCCAACAACCUCUUCACCAAAGAGUCACAAAUUGCUUUUAUGUGCAGUAUGUCUCAGAAAGCCAUCAGACAGCAGCCUGUGAUUGGAGGACUGAUAAUCCUUAU